CUUAUAACUACAGACUCCAAAACACUUCUAUACUAUCUGAACUUGGAAAUUGGAUUAAAACUGAAACACUAAUAGCAGUGCCUUUCUCAACAGGUCAAACCCACACUUUCACAAUGGGGAAUCCUCUCCAGCCUGGCGAAUUUCAAAUCUCACACCAAAUUUUUUUAUAUAAGGACCAGGCUAUCGCUAGGAAAUCAGUUUUAUUACAUAUUUA
Molecule: non-coding RNA, 214 nt
Organism: Pelobates cultripes (western spadefoot toad)
Lineage: Eukaryota; Metazoa; Chordata; Amphibia; Anura; Pelobatidae
Source: the annotation of a GenBank genome assembly